AACAGAAGAAAAAUCAAUUCCAAUACAUUCAGUUAUUGGUUCCAGAAUGUUAAGUUGUCAUCGAUACGGCCACAAAGACACACAAGGUGCUCACAAGAACACACAAAACCACAACAGAGGCAAGAGAUGACCACAAAGGAACAGGAAAGACAAAGACAUAAAUGACCUAAAAGAGACACCCAAAGCAACCACAAGGUGACACAAAACAGCCACAAGGUGACGCAAAGCGGCCACAAGGUGACGCAAAGCGGCCACAAGGUGACGCAAAGCGGCCACAAGGUGACACAAAGCGGCCACAAGGUGACGCAAAGCGGCCACAAGGUGACACAAAGCGACCACAAGGUGACACAAAGCGACCACAAGGUGACACAAAGCGACCACAAGGUGACACAAAGUGACACAAAACAGGCACAAGGUGACGCAAAGCGGCCACAAGGUGACACAAAGUGACACAAAACAGGCACAAGGUGACACAAAGCGACCACAAGGUGACACAAAGUGACACAAAACAGGCACAAGGUGACACAAAGCGACCACAAGGUGACACAAAGCGACCACAAGGUGACACAAAGUGACACAAAACAGGCACAAGGUGACACAAAGCGACCACAAGGUGACACAAAGCGGCCACAAGGUGACACAAAGUGACACAAAACAGGCACAAGGUGACACAAAGCGACCACAAGGUGACACAAAGCGACCACAAGGUGACACAAAGCGACCACAAGGUGACACAAAGUGACACAAAACAGGCACAAGGUGACGCAAAGCGGCCACAAGGUGACACAAAGUGACACAAAACAGGCACAAGGUGACACAAAGCGACCACAAGGUGACACAAAGUGACGCAAAGCGGCCACAAGGUGACACAAAGCGGCCACAAGGUGACACAAAGCGACCACAAGGUGACACAAAGUGACACAAAACAGGCACAAGGUGACGCAAAGCGGCCACAAGGUGACACAAAGUGACACAAAACAGGCACAAGGUGACACAAAGCGACCACAAGGUGACACAAAGUGACACAAAACAGGCACAAGGUGACGCAAAGCGGCCACAAGGUGACACAAAACAGGCACAAGGUGACGCAAAGCAGCCACAAGGUGACACAAAACAACCCCAAAAACACACAAAACAACCACACUUUCUCUGAGCUGCUCCUUUGUUUGUG
This is a long non-coding RNA of Acanthochromis polyacanthus (spiny chromis), 1171 nucleotides long. RefSeq lists it as uncharacterized. The record is from RefSeq and is a predicted model, not a curated record. NCBI's taxonomy places the organism in Eukaryota, Metazoa, Chordata, Actinopteri, Pomacentridae. The transcript has 3 exons.